RNAcentral lists this transfer RNA (74 nucleotides) under Candidatus Roizmanbacteria bacterium RIFCSPHIGHO2_01_FULL_37_16b. Its description in RNAcentral is "tRNA-Asp". It matches the Rfam family "tRNA". From Rfam's summary of the family: Transfer RNA (tRNA) molecules are approximately 80 nucleotides in length. Their secondary structure includes four short double-helical elements and three loops (D, anti-codon, and T loops). The record is from RNAcentral. Lineage: Bacteria; Candidatus Roizmaniibacteriota. RNAcentral also lists the same sequence under 4 other names.
GGACUCGUGGUGUAGCGGCCAAACACACCUCCCUGUCACGGAGGAGAUCGCCGGUUCAAAUCCGGUCGGGUCCG